GACGAACGCUGGCGGCGUGCUUAACACAUGCAAGUCGAACGGAAAGGCCCCGCCUUUGUGGGGUGCUCGAGUGGCGAACGGGUGAGUAACACGUGAGUAACCUGCCCUUGACUUUGGGAUAACUUCAGGAAACUGGGGCUAAUACCGGAUAGGAGCUCCUGCUGCAUGGUGGGGGUUGGAAAGUUUCGGCGGUUGGGGAUGGACUCGCGGCUUAUCAGCUUGUUGGUGGGGUAGUGGCUUACCAAGGCUUUGACGGGUAGCCGGCCUGAGAGGGUGACCGGCCACAUUGGGACUGAGAUACGGCCCAGACUCCUACGGGAGGCAGCAGUGGGGAAUAUUGCACAAUGGGCGGAAGCCUGAUGCAGCAACGCCGCGUGCGGGAUGACGGCCUUCGGGUUGUAAACCGCUUUCGCCUGUGACGAAGCGUGAGUGACGGUAAUGGGUAAAGAAGCACCGGCUAACUACGUG
This 468-nucleotide ribosomal RNA is filed under the name uncultured bacterium. RNAcentral describes it as "partial 16S ribosomal RNA". It matches the Rfam family "Bacterial small subunit ribosomal RNA", at positions 28 to 507 of the family's 1533-position model. The record is from RNAcentral.